UACGUAGGGUGCGAGCGUUGUCCGGAAUUAUUGGGCGUAAAGAGCUUGUAGGUGGCUCGUUGCGUCGGGAGUGAAAACCUGCGGCUUAACCGCAGGCCUGCUUCCGAUACGGGCGAGCUAGAGUUCGGCAGGGGAGACUGGAAUUCUUGGUGUAGCGGUGGAAUGCGCAGAUAUCAGGAGGAACACCGGUGGCGAAGGCGGGUCUCUGGGCCGAUACUGACACUGAGAAGCGAAAGCGUGGGGAGCGAACAGG
This 253-nucleotide ribosomal RNA is filed under the name uncultured bacterium. Its description in RNAcentral is "partial 16S ribosomal RNA". It matches the Rfam family "Bacterial small subunit ribosomal RNA", at positions 524 to 776 of the family's 1533-position model. The record is from RNAcentral.